RNAcentral lists this ribosomal RNA (485 nucleotides) under uncultured bacterium. RNAcentral's name for it is "bacterial SSU rRNA". It matches the Rfam family "Bacterial small subunit ribosomal RNA", at positions 28 to 511 of the family's 1533-position model. The record is from RNAcentral.
GAUGAACGCUAGCGGCAGGCUUAAUACAUGCAAGUCGUGGGGCAGCAUGAGUAGCAAUACUUGAUGGCGACCGGCAAACGGGUGAGGAACACGUACACAACCUUCCUUCAAGCGGGGAAUAGCCCAGAGAAAUUUGGAUUAAUACCCCAUAAUAUAUUUGAUAAGGCAUCUUAUUAAUAUUAAAGCUUCGGCACUUGAUGAUGGGUGUGCGGCUGAUUAGAUAGUUGGCGGGUAACGGCCCACCAAGUCUACGAUCAGUAGCUGAUGUGAGAGCAUGAUCAGCCACACGGGCACUGAGACACGGGCCCGACUCCUACGGGAGGCAGCAGUAAGGAUAUUGGACAAUGGACGAAAGUCUGAUCCAGCCAUGCCGCGUGAAGGAUUAAGGUCCUCUGGAUUGUAAACUUCUUUAUAUGGGACGAAAAAGGGCAUUCUUGUUCACUUGACGGUACCAUAUGAAUAAGCACCGGCUAACUCCGUGCCAG